GGGACCGCCCCGGGGCCCUUGCGGCCCGGACCCAGGCGCCCGCCGGAGACCCCAAACUAUAUGUUUUACUGUACAUCUCCUCUGAGUGACACAUAAACAAUAAAUAAAAACUUUCAACAACGGAUCUCUUGGUUCUGGCAUCGAUGAAGAACGCAGCGAAAUGCGAUAAGUAAUGUGAAUUGCAGAAUUCAGUGAAUCAUCGAAUCUUUGAACGCACAUUGCGCCCGCCAGUAUUCUGGCGGGCAUGCCUGUUCGAGCGUCAUUUCAACCCUCAGGCCCCCAGUGCCUGGCGUAGGGGAUCGGCUCAGGGGCGACCGCGCAAGCGGCCGCUUCCCGCCGGCCCCGAAAUCUAGUGGCGGUCUCGCUGUAGUCCUCCUCUGCGUAGUAGCACAACCUCGCAGCUGUAACGCGGCGGUGGCCCUGCCGUAAAACACCCCACUUCUGAAAGUUGACCUCGAUCAGGUAGGAA
RNAcentral lists this ribosomal RNA (469 nucleotides) under Myrothecium gramineum. RNAcentral describes it as "eukaryotic LSU rRNA". The stretch from base 109 to 262 matches the Rfam family "5.8S ribosomal RNA". The record is from RNAcentral. Lineage: Eukaryota; Fungi; Ascomycota; Sordariomycetes; Hypocreales; Stachybotryaceae.